AACGCUGGCGGCGUGCCUAAUACAUGCAAGUCGAACGAACUCUGGUAUUGAUUGGUGCUUGCAUCAUGAUUUACAUUUGAGUGAGUGGCGAACUGGUGAGUAACACGUGGGAAACCUGCCCAGAAGCGGGGGAUAACACCUGGAAACAGAUGCUAAUACCGCAUAACAACUUGGACCGCAUGGUCCGAGUUUGAAAGAUGGCUUCGGCUAUCACUUUUGGAUGGUCCCGCGGCGUAUUAGCUAGAUGGUGGGGUAACGGCUCACCAUGGCAAUGAUACGUAGCCGACCUGAGAGGGUAAUCGGCCACAUUGGGACUGAGACACGGCCCAAACUCCUACGGGAGGCAGCAGUAGGGAAUCUUCCACAAUGGACGAAAGUCUGAUGGAGCAACGCCGCGUGAGUGAAGAAGGGUUUCGGCUCGUAAAACUCUGUUGUUAAAGAAGAACAUAUCUGAGAGUAACUGUUCAGGUAUUGACGGUAUUUAACCAGAAAGCCACGGCUAACUACGUGCCAGCAGCCGCGGUAAUACGUAGGUGGCAAGCGUUGUCCGGAUUUAUUGGGCGUAAAGCGAGCGCAGGCGGUUUUUUAAGUCUGAUGUGAAAGCCUUCGGCUCAACCGAAGAAGUGCAUCGGAAACUGGGAAACUUGAGUGCAGAAGAGGACAGUGGAACUCCAUGUGUAGCGGUGAAAUGCGUAGAUAUAUGGAAGAACACCAGUGGCGAAGGCGGCUGUCUGGUCUGUAACUGACGCUGAGGCUCGAAAGUAUGGGUAGCAAACAGGAUUAGAUACCCUGGUAGUCCAUACCGUAAACGAUGAAUGCUAAGUGUUGGAGGGUUUCCGCCCUUCAGUGCUGCAGCUAACGCAUUAAGCAUUCCGCCUGGGGAGUACGGCCGCAAGGCUGAAACUCAAAGGAAUUGACGGGGGCCCGCACAAGCGGUGGAGCAUGUGGUUUAAUUCGAAGCUACGCGAAGAACCUUACCAGGUCUUGACAUACUAUGCAAAUCUAAGAGAUUAGACGUUCCCUUCGGGGACAUGGAUACAGGUGGUGCAUGGUUGUCGUCAGCUCGUGUCGUGAGAUGUUGGGUUAAGUCCCGCAACGAGCGCAACCCUUAUUAUCAGUUGCCAGCAUUAAGUUGGGCACUCUGGUGAGACUGCCGGUGACAAACCGGAGGAAGGUGGGGAUG
Molecule: ribosomal RNA, 1183 nt
Filed under: Lactiplantibacillus plantarum
Lineage: Bacteria; Bacillati; Bacillota; Bacilli; Lactobacillales; Lactobacillaceae
Description: bacterial SSU rRNA
Rfam family: Bacterial small subunit ribosomal RNA
Source: RNAcentral